UGGGUAACCUGCCUCAUACAGGGGGAGUAACAGUUAGAAAUGACUGCUAAUACCGCAUAAGCGCACAGUGCUGCAUGGCACAGUGUGAAAAACUCCGGUGGUAUGAGAUGGACCCGCGUCUGAUUAGCUAGUUGGUGGGGUAACGGCCUACCAAGGCGACGAUCAGUAGCCGGCCUGAGAGGGUGAACGGCCACAUUGGGACUGAGACACGGCCCAAACUCCUACGGGAGGCAGCAUG
Molecule: ribosomal RNA, 238 nt
Filed under: uncultured bacterium
Lineage: Bacteria
Description: partial 16S ribosomal RNA
Rfam family: Bacterial small subunit ribosomal RNA
Source: RNAcentral